AGGCAUUCAGGCAGCGAGAGCAGAGCAGCGUAGAGCAGCACAGCUGAGCUCGUGAGGCAGGAGACUCAGCCCGAGGAAAUCGCAGAUAAGUUUUUAAUUAAAAAGAUUGAGCAGUAAAAAGAAUUAGAACUCUAAACUUAAGCUAAUAGAGUAGCUUAUCGAAAUAUUACUUAGUCUUAAUAAUCUAAGAAGAUCUUAAGAGAUAACAUGAAGGCUUAUUUAAACAGUUUGAAAAAGGAAAUGAGGAGAAAAGUAUUUGUACUGUAUAAUGGAGGCUGACCAGAGCAGUUUAGGAGAUUGUAAAGGGAGGUUUUGUGAAGUUCUAAAAGGUUCUAGUUUGAAGGUCGGCCUUGUAGAUUAAAACGAAGGUUACCUAAAUAGAAUCUAAGUGGCAUUUAAAACAGUAAAGUUGUAGAGAAUAGUUUGAAAAUGAGGUGUAGUUUUAAAAGAUUGAGAAAAGUAGGUUAAGUUGACGGCCGUUAUAAAAAUCCUUCGACUGGCGCAUGUACGUUUGAAGGCAUGAGUUGGAAACAGGGAAGAUGGAAGUGUUAGGCUAGCCGGGCGAUGGUGGCGCACGCCUUUAAUCCUAGCACUUGGGAGGCAGAGGCAGGCGGAUUUCUGAGUUCGAGGCCAGCCUGGUCUACAGAGUGAGUUCCAGGACAGCCAGGGCUACACAGAGAAACCCUGUCUUGAAAAAACAAAAAGGUUAGGCUAGUAUUUGGAGAAAGAAGAUUAGAAAAUGGAAGUGAAAGACGAAGAAGACAUACAGGAAGGUGAAGAAAAAGCUGUUAGAGAAGAUAGGAAAAUAGAAGACAAAGCAUCUUUAGAAGACAGAAAAGGUACUUAAAGGCACAGGUAGUAGGAAGCCGAAGAAUAGAAGAUAGAAAGAAGCAAGAUAGAAAAACAAAAUGGAAGUUAAGACAACUUUGGAUGCCAGCAUUCAAGAUAGGCAAAGAAGAUAAGAUUGAGGCCAAAAGGUGACUUAAUGUAUCUUAAUAACUACUAUAGGAACAAAGGAAGUGGCUUUAAUGACCCUGAAGGAAUUUCUUCUGGUGAUAGCUUUUAUAUUAUCAAGUAAGAGAUACUAUCUCAGUUUUGUAUAAGCAAGUCUUUUUCCUAGUGUAGGAGAAAUGAUUUUCCUUGUGACUAAACAAGAUGUAAAGACCUUUUUCAGAUAACACCAUCUGAGUCAUAACCAGCCUGGCAGUGUGAUGACGUAGAUGCAGAGGGAGCAGCUCCUUGGUGAAUGAGUGAUAAGUAAAGGCAGAAAAAAUAAUGUCAUGUCUCCAUGGGGAAUGAGCAUGAGCCAGAGAUUGUUCCUACUGAUGAAAAGCUGCAUAUGCAAAAAUUUAAGCAAAUGAAAGCAACCAGUAUAAAGUUAUGGCAAUACCUUUAAAAGUUAUGGCUUAUCUACCAAGCUUUAUCCACAAAAGUAAAGAAUUGAUGAAAAACAGUGAAGAUCAAAUGUUCAUCUCAAAACUGCUUUUACAAAAGCAGAAUAGAAAUGAAGUGAAAAUGCUGCAUUAAGCCUGGAGUAAAAAGAAGCUGAGCUUGUUGAGAUGAGUGGGAUCGAGCGGCUGCGAGGCGGUGCAGUGUGCCAAUGUUUCGUUUGCCUCAGACAGGUUUCUCUUCAUAAGCAGAAGAGUUGCUUCAUUCCAUCUCGGAGCAGGAAACAGCAGACUGCUGUUGACAGAUAAGUGUAACUUGGAUCUGCAGUAUUGCAUGUUAGGGAUAGAUAAGUGCCUUUUUUCUCUUUUUCCAAAAAGACCUGUAGAGCUGUUGAAUGUUUGCAGCUGGCCCCUCUUAGGCAGUUCAGAAUUUUGAGUAGUUUUCCCAUCCAGCCUCUUAAAAAUUCCUAAGCCUUGCACCGAUGGGCUUUCAUGAUGGGAUAGCUAAUAGGCUUUUGCAUCGUAAACUUCAACACAAAAGCCUACAUGAUUAAUGCCUACUUUAAUUACAUUGCUUACAAGAUUAAGGAAUCUUUAUCUUGAAGACCCCAUGAAAGGGAUCAUUAUGUGCUGAAAAUUAGAUGUUCAUAUUGCUAAAAUUUAAAUGUGCUCCAAUGUACUUGUGCUUAAAAUCAUUAAAUUAUACAAAUUAAUAAAAUACUUCACUAGAGAAUGUAUGUAUUUA
Molecule: long non-coding RNA, 2133 nt
Filed under: Mus musculus (house mouse)
Lineage: Eukaryota; Metazoa; Chordata; Mammalia; Rodentia; Muridae
Description: metastasis associated lung adenocarcinoma transcript 1 (non-coding RNA)
Rfam family: Metastasis associated lung adenocarcinoma transcript 1 (bases 1434-1519)
Source: RNAcentral